Molecule: long non-coding RNA, 539 nt
Organism: Mauremys reevesii (Reeves's turtle)
Lineage: Eukaryota; Metazoa; Chordata; Testudines; Geoemydidae
Exons: 4
Source: RefSeq, a predicted model, not a curated record
GGAAGAAAGCAAAAGCAGGAGUAAUCUGAAUGGGGACAGGCGUAUAGUGCAUCAGCAGGAUACACACCUAGGAAUCAGGGAGUCUGUUUCAAAAGUCCACCAUGGAAUGCCCUUGCAAAACAACAAAGGGAGGAGAGGACCCAUGCAGUAACCAAAAAGUUACAAAAAAAUUCAUGUGAAGCCCAGUCGUCCUACAACAAUAAAUCCUCAUUUAGCAAUCCUUGAAGAAUGAGUGUAUCAAGAAAGUUAGAUAUCUUUUCACAGCAAGAGUUAAAAUUAAAAUUAAAAUGAAAUGAAUAUAGAUUCUGCUGGAGAGGUGCUGCAAGUGUACCCUUCACCCACCGGGGCUGCUGUGGCACCAGAAGAGAGGACAGCCAGCCGGCAGAGAGGCUGCAUUCCUCACAAUAGGGCCAGUGGUAAUCUAAAGCACAACUAAUCUCCUGGGGGAGCUGGCCAGGUGGAGGAGCUUGGAGAUGGAUCACAGGCACAAGACCUGGGAGCAGGAAGCCCUCACCAGGACAAGCCCCACAGAUAAUGUG